This 251-nucleotide ribosomal RNA is filed under the name uncultured bacterium. RNAcentral describes it as "partial 16S ribosomal RNA". It matches the Rfam family "Bacterial small subunit ribosomal RNA", at positions 78 to 334 of the family's 1533-position model. The record is from RNAcentral.
CUUUUGCUGGCGACCGGCGCACGGGUGAGUAACACGUAUCCAACCUGCCCUUUACUCGGGGAUAGCCUUUCGAAAGAAAGAUUAAUACCCGAUGGCAUAAUGAUUCCGCAUGGUUUCAUUAUUAAAGGAUUCCGGUAAAGGAUGGGGAUGCGUUCCAUUAGGUUGUUGGUGAGGUAACGGCCCACCAAGCCUUCGAUGGAUAGGGGUUCUGAGAGGAAGGUCCCUCACAUUGGAACUGAGACACGGUCCAA